Molecule: ribosomal RNA, 312 nt
Filed under: Triticum aestivum (bread wheat)
Lineage: Eukaryota; Viridiplantae; Streptophyta; Magnoliopsida; Poales; Poaceae
Description: partial small subunit ribosomal RNA
Source: RNAcentral
AUGGGAACAAAAUGCCCUCUGAAUAAUCUAGAACAAGGAGUUAUUUUUUUUUCUUAUCAUUUUUCAGUUAGCACACGUAUUAAGCACAACAUAUCUAAAACAAACAAGCUAUCUGCCCAUGCAAAUGACAGUAAUGUGCACUUUUUCGCUGAUCAGUUUCUUAGGGUAGAUCAGUUUUUUCUAAGGUUAGAUCAUACAUGUGCUAACUAUGUGUUCUAUGAGGCUAGAUCAUACAAAGGUUGGAUGCACUUCUAUUAUUUACAACAACACAAUGUUGUCUCUGUGUUGUUGUACAUAUGGUUUGCAAGAUAG